AGCCCCGUAGUGUAGUGGUCAAUCAUGCGGGCCUUUGGAGCCUGUGACGGAGGUUCGAAUCCUCCCGGGGCUACCA
RNAcentral lists this transfer RNA (76 nucleotides) under Thermoplasmata archaeon. RNAcentral describes it as "tRNA-Gln". It matches the Rfam family "tRNA". Rfam says of the family: Transfer RNA (tRNA) molecules are approximately 80 nucleotides in length. Their secondary structure includes four short double-helical elements and three loops (D, anti-codon, and T loops). Lineage: Archaea; Methanobacteriati; Thermoplasmatota; Thermoplasmata. The record is from RNAcentral. RNAcentral also lists the same sequence under 3 other names.